AAGAUGAAUAUUACAUGAUCCAACAUCAUAAUCAUACCUUUUUGUCGGUUUGAUUGGUAUUGCUUAGAAAUAA
Molecule: transfer RNA, 73 nt
Filed under: Callianthe megapotamica
Lineage: Eukaryota; Viridiplantae; Streptophyta; Magnoliopsida; Malvales; Malvaceae
Description: Abutilon megapotamicum tRNA-Met
Source: RNAcentral